UUAUGCACAUUUAUGCUAUCUACCAAUAAAGAAUUCAGAGUAAUUAAGAUAGAGGAAAAAACAAGGGAGAGUGACCGAGGGAAAGACCCAUUAAAACAACUUGGGUCUCUUGCAAGACAGGAUACUGCUUGAUAAAGUGUGAAGAGAGGAUAGAAGAAGGAACAAAACAAUUCUUGAAAUCUGUCCUUUUGAGUAUUUUGAGUUAGAAUGAACCAGAAUUGAUAGAGGCCUGCUUUCACUAAUGAGAAUUUAAUUGUCUUGUGCAAUGUUCCAAUAAUGAAAAUACAUUAAUUGACAAUUGAUAUUCUUAUAAAGUAAGACUAAAAGGAUUGAGAUAGAAUUUUCUGCAAGGUAAGUGAUGAACAUUGGAGUCAAAUGGACAUGGGUACAAACUCCGAGCCAGCUCUGUUGCUUAGUUGCUGUGUGACUUUGGAUGAGUGACCUAACCUUUCUGACACUCAGUUUCCUUUAUCUGUGAAUUGGAGAGAAUAAAAACAAUCACUUCAAAGGUUUUUAGAGAUGAUGAAAUGAGACAAUGAAUGUCAGGCAGUAUAUUAAAAGUUUAGUGCAUAGAAUAAGCCUUCAAAUUGUAGUUAAUAUUAACUGUUGAUGAAAAUGUUAAAAGAAAUAUAAAUUAGAAGAAGCAGAGCAUUGCAAAUUCCAUGUGUUGCAUUUCAAGUAUGGUGAUGAAAAUAUAACUUAGCAAAUACUUUUGAAAAAGAGAUACUAUCCAAAUAAAGAUGAAUGGAGGUAUGGAAAAUUCCUGAGGGAAAAGUGUGAAAUUUAUGAAUUUGAAGUAAGGAGGUUAUUAGAGAAGAUGUGAAAAUUUUAUUAUAAUUUAAAAUCUCAGGAGGAAGGUUAUGGAAAUGGAGAAAAUGGUGCUUUAAAAAAAGAUUUAUGGAGUGGGAAGGAAGCCUGAGUUGAUAGGAAGUAGAAAUGGAGAAAGUACUUGGUUGUAGAAUGCACACAUGUUUUUAGGCUUUCUGGGAACAAGGCAAGGAAAAUAGUCCAUCAUGAUCACUGAGGUCCUACAUACAAAAAGGAUAAACUCCAUAAAAGACCUAUCUGAAGGCUUUUUCCAUACACUAUAAUAUCCCAGUGAUGAAAGAAGAAAUUUUUAAGAAGUGGCAGGAAAUCAGAAAUUGAUAAGACACAUGUAUGCUUUAUAUCUACUAUAUAAAGCACUUUCCCCUAAUUCAUCUCCAUAGUGUUCUCUUAAAUCUUUUCUUGUUUGAUUUCUAAUAGGAAAACUCUACACUUGCAGCUCCUUUUUCUUAUGUGUGUUUAUUUCUCAGAAUCUUGUAUUUUGGUUUUUGUGUGUUGAAGUUAUCUUGGUCAACAGAUUUAAUGGAAUUUUCUCAUUCUUCCUGAUUUCUAUGCAGCAUGUGACAUUGAUGAUCAUUUCUUUCUUCUUGAGAUUCUUUUCAGAGUCCUCCUAUUCUCUGAUUAGUCCUUUCUGAUCUCAUUAUUUUCUUUAAUUCCAGCCCUCCAAAUAUGUCUUCUCUUUGUUUCUGCUGUUAGGUCUCUUGUUUUUACAUCCCCACUGUGACCAUCUGAUCCUCUUCCAUGCCUUCAACCUUAAUUUCUGUUCAGAUUUCUCAAACAUCUAUAUAACUGGGCUAAAGUUUUCUCCAGAGCAUCAGUCCUACAUUCCUAGUAAUGUUUACUGCGUAUCUGCAUCUGGGUAUCCUGACAGCAACUCAGACUUAACAUUACUGAAACUAACUUAUCAGUUUCCAGGUCUUGGUUGUGCACCUCUAUCUAAAGUUGCACCAUUAUUUUCUAAAUCAGGCAGACAAGAAACUUCUGCCAUCUUUGAUUGUUCCAUCUCUCUUGCCUGUUAUAUACAACCAGUUGCCAUGCCUUGUAACUUUGCGGAGUUUUGCUAUGCAGCGGUCUGUGAAGUAGUGUGAAUGACCACUGAAUGGAAUUACUAUAUAUUGAACCAAACGUAACAAAUAGUGAUUAGAAGGUCCAUUAGAACCCUAGGCAUUCCCUGAUAGUAGAUUAGUCAUGUGAGGGAAUGAGUAUUGGAAAUAAAGCCUGGCUGGACCGUAAAGUAGGAAGUUAUGGAAGAUGGAGAGAGCAAAGGGCCAUGGGCCCAGGAAACUAGGCAUUCACAUAAUCUCCAACCCCUUGACAAAUGCAGUGCUUGAGCCAUGCGUCUCAGAACAGGUUCCUCUGCAAAGCUUUGUUAGAGUUCUGUGAAUAGCAAUGUCUGUGUAAACAUCUCUGAAUAUCCUAACAGAUUCUCAGUGCUAUUUGGAUAUGAAUAGGACAAGAGAAAAACAUUUAGUUAAAAAUUACAGAUAUGAUUUCUUUAAUUUUCUUUUUUUUUCCCACUAUAGAACAUUUGAAAGGAAGUGAUUUGAAGAGCAAGCUGGGCCUUUGUGAUUGGCCCAAAUAAAGUAUAGUGUAGUGUUGUAUUUUGUCGCCUUCCUGCUUUUAAUAAAUAGAGGCCACAUUUUGUCAGCUGUUUUCCUGAACCACACUACCUGGCAUCUCAGGGUUACAUUUUGGUCAUUUGUUUUUUUUUUUUAACUCCCUUCCCUUCUCCAAUGGGUUGAUAACAAUAUAGCAAUGCCCAUUUAUGCAGUAUCUUUUAUUUUUAAGUAAAGCAAAUGGAUUUUUGCAUCUUGCCUUACUGACAAGUUUGCAAAUGACCAAUCUUUGCUCUUUUUUCUCCCUCCCAAUUUUUCAUGGUGGUAAUUAAGGACUGUAAAUUUCACUUUAUCAUUUGUGUUAGGAAUAGUAGCAUAAAUCAUAGUAAUAGCACCGUUCAUUUCAGUAAUGCCAGCCUGCCUGCAAAUCACUUGUAAAUUUGUUCCAUGGUUGUACCUCUAUCAAAUUAAUCAAAAAACCACCUGCAUACAUUUCCUGAGCUUAUUUCGAAGGCUUAGUAACAGUGAGGAAGAAAGACCAUUGCUGACCUUUGCAUUUUUAUUUAUUUGUGAGCUCUGAAUGGCUCGUGCAUACAUUUUCGUUUUGAACCCUGGCUAACAUCUAACUGAGCAUUGUAUGUAAUGCUUUUUUUUUUUAAACACAGGUUGGGAUUUGUGCCCCAAAUAAUAUACCUGCCAGAUCGUCCUACUGUGGUUCAUACGUAGUAAUAAUAAUGUUUGAUUGGACAUAAAAUUGUAUUCCAUUUAAGAAUUUGUGAGAAGUGAUACUUUUCUGCUGAAAAAGGAUUUUUCAAGUGAGCAUAAUUGUUUUCAACGUUGGGAAGUUAGGCAACAGUCACUUACGCUUGUCCCCUGUACCCAGGAAGGUGAUACCAAUGUGUUAUUCUGAAUAUGGAGGAAAAAAGAGAAUCUUUCCUUAUGUUCCUGCUUAUGCUUUCUGGACAAUAGCUAAGACAACUCCAGUUCAGUAAGAGCCAAGUUCACAAUUUAAACUCAACACUACCUGGAACCAGUGGAGUGGGAUUAUAUUUCUUCCUUGGGAAUAUUUUCCACGUGGUAUUGAUAAAAUGAAUUCAUAUGCAAUUCAUGGAUCAGGGAUUAGAAGAAUUUAUGAAGCCCUCUAUUCAAUGCCACAUGAAGAGAUGGAAGAUGGACAAGGCCUAACUUCCAUCGCCUCGAGUAUUUCAAACCUUCCAACUUGAAGUGGAUUAUGGGAAACAACUGGGAGAAGCCAGACUCAGAGCUGUGGAAGGAGCUUUGCUGUGAUCCUUUACCUUCUGACAACACAGGUUAUAGCUCGUAACGAAAAGCACUUAACAAAUAGAACUCCAUGUACCACCACCUUUUGGCCUCAGUUGGACAGCUGAAGUAAAAUCAUUGUCUGCUACCGCUGUAAAUGUUCCAACAACACGCUAGAAAUAAAUCAUCUAAUUGAACAUGACUCUUCUGCCGUAUCUUUUACUAAU
Aethalodelphis obliquidens (Pacific white-sided dolphin) is the source of this 3868-nucleotide long non-coding RNA. RefSeq lists it as uncharacterized. The record is from RefSeq and is a predicted model, not a curated record. The transcript is spliced from 3 exons. Lineage: Eukaryota; Metazoa; Chordata; Mammalia; Artiodactyla; Delphinidae.